GAUAAACGCUGGCGGCGUGCCUAAUACAUGCAAGUCGAGCGAACGGACGAGAAGCUUGCUUCUCUGAUGUUAGCGGCGGACGGGUGAGUAACACGUGGAUAACCUACCUAUAAGACUGGGAUAACUUCGGGAAACCGGAGCUAAUACCGGAUAAUAUUUUGAACCGCAUGGUUCAAAAGUGAAAGACGGUCUUGCUGUCACUUAUAGAUGGAUCCGCGCUGCAUUAGCUAGUUGGUAAGGUAACGGCUUACCAAGGCAACGAUGCAUAGCCGACCUGAGAGGGUGAUCGGCCACACUGGAACUGAGACACGGUCCAGACUCCUACGGGAGGCAGCAGUAGGGAAUCUUCCGCAAUGGGCGAAAGCCUGACGGAGCAACGCCGCAUGAGUGAUGAAGGUCUUCGGAUCGUAAAACUCUGUUAUUAGGGAAGAACAUAUGUGUAAGUAACUGUGCACAUCUUGACGGUACCUAAUCAGAAAGCCACGGCUAACUACGUG
RNAcentral lists this ribosomal RNA (497 nucleotides) under uncultured bacterium. RNAcentral describes it as "partial 16S ribosomal RNA". It matches the Rfam family "Bacterial small subunit ribosomal RNA", at positions 28 to 507 of the family's 1533-position model. The record is from RNAcentral.